GUUCCAGAUCAAAUAAUCUGAUUGUAGCAAAUUUGGGGAAGUUGAAAGUCAAAAAUAAGUUUCUGUUUGCUGGUUUUCCUGGCACCUUUUCCUUACAAGAUAAGGAAUCUGUGCCUUCAGCUUCCCCAACGGGUACUCCCAAACACAGUCUGAGGAAAACGACAAGCAUGGAGGAGCCCAGGGGAACGCAUUCCCAGGGGCAGUUCACGAUGCCUCUUGCUGGAAUGGGCCUAGGAAGCCUGAAGAGUGAGUUUGUGCCCAGUACCUCCACCAAGCAGCGAGGGCCGCAACCCACACUGUCUGUUGGCCAAGUGUCCAGUAGUCCAGAAGACCAUGUCUGCCUGCUGGAUUGCAUUGUCGUGGAUCUCCAGGACAUGGACAUCUUUGCUGCAGAGAGACAUCCAAGAGAAUACUCCAAGGCACCAGAGGACAGUAGUGGAGAUCUGAUCUUCCCUUCCUAUUUUGUGCGACAGACAGGAGGAAGCCUCUUAACCGAGCCUUGUAGGCUGAAAUUGCAGGUGGAAAGGAAUUUGGACAAAGAAAUAAGUCAUACUGUGCCAGACAUAUCUAUCCAUGGCAAUCUCUCCUCAGUCCACUGCUCUCUGGAUCUGUAUAAAUACAAGCUGAUCCGCGGCUUAUUAGAGAACAACCUGGGAGAACCCAUAGAGGAAUUUAUGCGGCCUUAUGAUUUACAAGAUCCAAGAAUUCAUACUGUCCUGAGUGGAGAAGUGUACACCUGCAUGUGCUUCCUCAUUGAUAUGGUGAAUGUAAGUCUGGAGCUUAAAGAUCCAAAAAGAAAAGAAGGUGCUGGAUCCCUAGCCAGAUUUGACUUCAAGAAAUGCAAACUGCUCUAUGAAAGUUUUUCCAACCAAACCAAGUCCGUUAACUUGGUUGCCCAUUCCAUGGUGGCUUUUGACACGCGUUUUGCUGGGCAGAAGACCAGCCCUGGCAUGGCCAACGUGUUCAGCUGCAUCUUCCAGCCUGCCAGGAACAGCAGCACCGCCCAAGGGGCCAUUCAGAUUGAACUACAUUUCAGAUCUACCAAGGAUUCCUCCUGCUUUACAGUAGUUCUCAACAAUCUCCGUGUGUUUCUCAUAUUUGACUGGCUACUGUUAGUCCAUGAUUUUCUCCACACUCCCAGUGAUAUUAAGAAACGAAAUCAUGUUACUCCUUCUCGCCAUCGUAACUCUAGCAGCGAAUCUGCUAUAGUUCCCAAAACUGUGAAGAGUGGAGUAGUUACCAAGCGGUCUUCCCUUCCUGUGUCCAAUGAAAGGCACCUGGAGGUCAAGGUCAAUGUAACAGGUACGGAGUUUGUGGUCGUUGAAGAUGUGUCCUGCUUUGACACCAAUGCCAUUAUUCUGAAAGGCACCACAGUGCUCACCUAUAAGCCCCGGUUUGUUGAUCGCCCCUUUUCAGGAAGUUUGUUUGGCAUCGAGGUGUUUUCAUGCCGACUAGGGAAUGAGCAUGAUACAGCUCUUUCAAUUGUGGAUCCCGUACAAAUUCAAGUGGAGUUGGUGGGGAAUUCUUCUUAUCAAAAUAGUUCAGGAUUGAUGGAUGCAUUCAAUAGUGAAGAUUUCCCACCUGUCCUGGAGAUUCAGUUACAAGCCCUGGAUAUCAGACUCUCCUAUAAUGAUGUUCAGCUGUUUCUUGCCAUUGCAAAAUCCAUCCCAGAGCAAGCUAAUGCUGCAGUGCCAGACUCAGUGGCCCUGGAGUCAGACUCCAUUGGCACUUACCUUCCAGGUGCAUCUCGCGUUGGAGAGGAAAUCAGAGAAGGGACAAGACACACCUUAGAUCCUGUCUUGGAGUUACAGCUGGCUAGGCUGCAGGAGCUGGGAUUCAGCAUGGAUGAUUGUCGCAAAGCUCUUUUGGUGUGUCAAGGCCAAUUGAAAAAGGCAGCAAGUUGGUUGUUUAAGAAUGCGGAACCUCUGAAGUCUCUUUCCUUGGCCUCCACCAGCCGAGAUAGCCCAGGGGCUGUGGCAGCGCCAUUGAUCUCUGGCGUGGAGAUCAAAGCUGAGAGUGUGUGCAUCUGUUUCAUCGAUGACUGCAUGGAUUGUGAUGUUCCUCUCGCUGAACUCACCUUUUCCCGUCUGAAUUUUCUUCAGCGUGUAAGAACUAGCCCUGAAGGCUAUGCCCACUUCACCCUUUCUGGAGAUUAUUAUAACCGUGCUCUUUCAGGCUGGGAGCCAUUUAUUGAGCCUUGGCCAUGCUCUGUAUCCUGGCAACAGCAGGCAGCUAGUCGUCUCCAUCCUCCUCGACUGAAGCUAGAAGCCAAGGCCAAACCUCGUUUGGAUAUCAAUAUCACUUCUGUGCUAAUUGACCAGUAUGUAAGUACCAAGGAAUCAUGGAUGGCAGAUUACUGUAAAGAUGACAAAGAAAUAGAGUCAGCUAAAUCAGAAGACUGGAUGGGCUCUUCGGUGGAUCCUCCAUGUUUUGGACAAACAGAGGUGAAAACCCCCAAGCGCCGGCAGCCAUUUGUCCCCUUUGCUCUGAGGAACCACACGGGGUGCACUUUGUGGUUUGCCACCCUGACCACCACACCCACCAGAGCCGCACUGUCUCACAGCGGGAGUCCAGGGGUAGUUCCAGAAGGGAAUGGAACAUUUCUCGAUGAUACUCACAAUGUUAGUGAAUGGCGAGAAGUCCUUACAGGUGAAGAGAUUCCCUUUGAAUUUGAAGCAAGAGGAAAGUUAAGACACAGACACACCCAUGACCUCCGGAUUCAUCAACUGCAAGUGAGAGUAAAUGGCUGGGAGCAAGUGAGCCCAGUGUCUGUGGACAAAGUCGGGACCUUUUUUCGAUAUGCAGCACCAGAUAAAAAUUCAUCUUCCUCUACGAUUGGCAGCCCAAGCAGCAGAACGAAUAUUAUACAUCCCCAGGUUUAUUUCUCUUCACUCCCACCAGUGCGGGUGGUCUUUGCAGUGACUAUGGAAGGCAGUGCGCGGAAAGUCAUCACUGUCCGGUCAGCCCUCAUUGUGAGGAACAGACUUGAGACACCAAUGGAACUAAGACUGGAUAGCCCAUCAGCUCCAGACAGUAUGUUUUGAUUGUCUAGAAUAUAGUAAAUGCUGAUAAAUAUUUCUUGACUGUUGUCAAGUCUCUUUUUCCCCAGUGGUAUCUUCCCCAGCAGUCAGUAUAUAUGGUCUGUCUUCUUUUGUCCUGAGAUGGUCAGUCUUUGGGGUGGAGGACCAUUGCCUGAAAGUAUUAACCCUUAUUUCUGUGGCAGAGCCAGUGGUGCUUCCUGCUAUCAUGCCAGGGGAUUCGUUUGCUGUGCCUUUACACCUCACUUCUUGGCGGCUACAGGCCCGGCCCAAAGGAUUGGGUGUAUUUUUCUGUAAGGCUCCCAUUCAUUGGACCAAUGUAGUGAAGACUGCAGAAAUUAGUAGCAGUAAACGAGAGUGCCACUCUAUGGACACAGAAAAAAGCCGAUUUUUCAGGUUUUGUGUGGCUAUAAAGAAAGAGAAUUAUCCAGAUUAUAUGCCCUCAAACAUAUUUUCUGACAGCGCAAAACAGAUUUUCAGACAGCCUGGGCAUACCAUAUAUCUCCUGCCAACUGUGGUAAUCUGCAACUUGCUACCCUGUGAACUUGAUUUUUAUGUUAAAGGAAUGCCAAUUAAUGGGACGCUGAAACCUGGCAAGGAGGCAGCUCUCCACACAGCUGAUACAUCCCAGAACAUUGAGCUGGGGGUAUCACUGGAGAAUUUCCCCCUCUGUAAAGAAUUGCUCAUUCCACCUGGAACCCAAAACUAUAUGGUGAGGAUGCGACUCUAUGACGUCAACCGUCGGCAGCUGAACCUCACCAUCCGGAUUGUGUGUCGAGCAGAAGGAUCCUUAAAGAUCUUCAUUUCUGCUCCAUAUUGGCUAAUUAACAAAACAGGGUUGCCACUGAUCUUCAGACAGGACAAUGCCAAGACAGAUGCUGCAGGCCAGUUUGAGGAGCAUGAGCUGGCUCGGAGCCUGAGUCCUCUCUUAUUCUGCUAUGCUGACAAAGAGCAGCCAAACCUCUGCACGAUGAGAAUCGGAAGGGGGAUUCAUCCAGAAGGCAUGCCGGGCUGGUGUCAGGGCUUCUCCCUGGAUGGUGGUAGUGGUGUCCGAGCUUUGAAAGUCAUCCAGCAAGGAAACCGCCCAGGGCUGAUCUAUAACAUUGGUAUUGAUGUCAAGAAAGGCCGAGGUCGAUACAUUGACACCUGCAUGGUCAUCUUUGCCCCCCGUUACCUGUUAGAUAAUAAAUCAUCUCACAAGCUUGCAUUUGCACAGAGGGAAUUUGCCAGGGGACAGGGAACAGCCAAUCCCGAAGGUUACAUUUCCACCCUUCCUGGUUCCAGUGUGGUGUUCCACUGGCCUCGGAAUGACUAUGAUCAGCUGUUGUGUGUCAGACUGAUGGAUGUUCCCAAUUGUAUUUGGUCUGGAGGCUUUGAAGUCAACAAGAAUAAUUCCUUCCAUAUCAACAUGAGGGAUACCUUGGGAAAAUGCUUCUUCCUACGAGUGGAAAUUACUCUCCGAGGAGCUACAUAUAGGAUCUCAUUUAGUGACACAGAUCAGUUACCUCCUCCUUUCCGAAUUGACAACUUUUCUAAGGUCCCGGUUGUCUUUACUCAGCAUGGCGUAGCUGAACCCAGGCUGCGGACUGAAGUGAAGCCCAUGACUUCAUUGGAUUAUGCCUGGGACGAACCCACCUUGCCACCUUUUAUCACUCUGACUGUUAAAGGGGCAGGGUCCUCCGAGAUCAACUGCAACAUGAAUGAUUUCCAGGAUAAUCGGCAGCUUUAUUAUGAAAAUUUCAUUUACAUUGCUGCUACAUAUACAUUCUCUGGCUUGCAGGAGGGAACAGGCAGGCCUGUGGCUUCCAACAAGGCCAUUACCUGUGCGGAGCUUGUUUUGGAUGUCUCGCCCAAGACACAAAGAGUCAUUUU
This 4910-nucleotide small RNA is filed under the name Pongo abelii (Sumatran orangutan). Its description in RNAcentral is "retained intron". The record is from RNAcentral. Lineage: Eukaryota; Metazoa; Chordata; Mammalia; Primates; Hominidae.